UGGGCCUGAACUUGGAGUCUGGGAAUUGGACCUGAGGUCUCAGUUCCCUGUUCUAUUCACCCCGGAGAAAGAAACAAAAAUUAAAGUUCCACAUUCAGAAGCCAUCGAGAAGUGCCCUGGUUGUGACGGUCGAGGAGAUACACCUUGUCCAACAUGCAAUGCUGAUCAAGAACCUGGUUAUUACAAAGAAAAGCAGAUGACCCCAUGCCCUUCCUGUCAUGGAAGGGGUUUAAUUGCUCAUAGAGACGGGUCUGACACAAUUUGCUUGCAAUGCAACGGAAAGGGAAAUAUUCCUUGUGCUACUUGCAGUUCUCGUGGAUUGAUAAAAUGCAAUAUAUGUCAAGGUGGCGGCUCUCUUCUUGCUCGCAAUAUUGCAACCAUCAAAUGGUAAGAGUUGCAUUUUGUUAUACUGUGGGAUAUGUUACCAAUCUUUAUUAGUUAUUCUCUCUCUGUAUUCCCAUAUUAAUCUGUUCCACAAGUUUCUUAUCUAUUUGAGGAGUUUUUUUUUUCUUUUUUUCUUUU
Molecule: long non-coding RNA, 522 nt
Organism: Spinacia oleracea (spinach)
Lineage: Eukaryota; Viridiplantae; Streptophyta; Magnoliopsida; Caryophyllales; Amaranthaceae
Exons: 3
Source: RefSeq, a predicted model, not a curated record